GGUGGGCGGUGUGGAGGAGUCUCCGCUGGUCCGCAGAAACGAACGAAGGCGCGAGAAUCGGGAAGUUCUGCCUCAGUGACCUGUACGCGUCCUAGCCGCAGUGAAUGUUGCUGAACCCCGGUGACCUCACAGUGGAGGGGCGGCCCCAUGGGGCCAUCGGACCGCGCCGCGCGGGGGCGUUCGCCAGGGCCUCCGCAGAAGCCCGCCUGUGCCCGCAACCGCCCCGAAAUUCUCUCCCUGGCACCGUGUCCGCUUUACGGAGCCCGGAGCAAGGCUCAGAAAAAUGUCCCAGCCAAAAACAUGGUACAUGCCUGUCAUCAGGUCUGUGUUUGUCUUGGAGUAAGGAUUAUUCUCGCUUGCUGGGGUCAUGGUGUUUUGGCCUCUCCUGGCCUGGACUCUCAAAAACUCAUCAUCCUUCAUAGGUCUGAAGGCUUCUACAUUCCCACCAGCAGGUGGACCAUAUGAACUCAAAACUAGUUGUGGCAGAGGGACCCUGAAGAGAUCUACCCCUGGUGAAUGCCCCCAGGAGUGGGCUGUUCUCACACCUGGUGCCCAGCCUGUGCCCUCGCAGGUCUUGGUGCCUCCACUCAGCUCAAUUCCAGUUUUCUGGCCAUGCCCCGCUGUGUCCCUUUCUCUCUCCUUAGUGCCUAGCUGUGCAAUGUUUGCCUCUCCUUAACAUGUCCUCAGCUGACCCCAUAUCCUCAGUCCUUGCAACCCUGUUCCUCAGUGACACCUGUGUAUUCUCUCCAGUGGAGACACAGGUGGGACACCCCCAAGCUCAUGGUACAUGCCUG
Molecule: long non-coding RNA, 794 nt
Filed under: Homo sapiens (human)
Lineage: Eukaryota; Metazoa; Chordata; Mammalia; Primates; Hominidae
Description: non-protein coding lnc-ZNF837-1:14
Source: RNAcentral